RNAcentral lists this ribosomal RNA (254 nucleotides) under uncultured bacterium. Its description in RNAcentral is "partial 16S ribosomal RNA". It matches the Rfam family "Bacterial small subunit ribosomal RNA", at positions 524 to 776 of the family's 1533-position model. The record is from RNAcentral.
UACGGAGGGUGCGAGCGUUGUCCGGAAUCAUUGGGCGGAAAGGGCGCGUAGGUGGCCCGGUCAGUUCGUGGUGAAAGCGCGGGGCUCAACCCUGCGUCGGCCAUGAAUACUGCCGCGGCUGGAGCACUGUAGAGGCAGGCGGAAUUCCGGGUGUAGCGGUGGAAUGCGUAGAGAUCCGGAAGAACACCGGUGGCGAAGGCGGCCUGCUGGGCAGUUGCUGACACUGAGGCGCGACAGCGUGGGGAGCAAACAGG